RNAcentral lists this long non-coding RNA (330 nucleotides) under Coffea arabica (coffee). Its description in RNAcentral is "long non-coding RNA (CARA_LNC008118)". The record is from RNAcentral. Lineage: Eukaryota; Viridiplantae; Streptophyta; Magnoliopsida; Gentianales; Rubiaceae.
GGAUGACUAGGGAUGAAAUGUUUUGAUUGGAAAGGAAGAUGGCCUGACUUUUGUCUCGUCUCUUGCAUGAUUUCCUAAAAGAAACUUUGCAUAAUCAAAUAAAAAACAUCUUACACAUGUCUGAAUUGAUAGGUUGAGGGAAUGUCUGUCCUUCCAUCUCUCCUUUGAACACCCAAUAAGCUUUGCCGAUUUGAAGCAAAUUUGCCUUCGACUUCGUCUUUCAUCGCUUUAGCACUUUGUUUCCUUUUUCAGAAGAUCGGUGGCGGAUCCUUUUGUUAUGAACAUAGGCCAUGCGUUUUGACAACGUUGGUCAUGGCACAUAGCAUUAUC